This 803-nucleotide ribosomal RNA is filed under the name uncultured bacterium. RNAcentral's name for it is "bacterial SSU rRNA". It matches the Rfam family "Bacterial small subunit ribosomal RNA", at positions 8 to 810 of the family's 1533-position model. The record is from RNAcentral.
AGAGUUUGAUUCUGGCUCAGGAUGAACGCUGGCGGCGUGCUUAACACAUGCAAGUCGAGCGAAGCAAAUCAGAGGAAGUUUUCGGAUGGAAUCCGAUUUGACUGAGCGGCGGACGGGUGAGUAACGCGUGGGUAACCUGCCUCAUACAGGGGGAUAACAGUUAGAAAUGGCUGCUAAUACCGCAUAAGCGCACGAAGCUGCAUGGCAUCGUGUGAAAAACUCCGGUGGUAUGAGAUGGACCCGCGUCUGAUUAGCUAGUUGGUGAGGUAACGGCCCACCAAGGCGACGAUCAGUAGCCGACCUGAGAGGGUGACCGGCCACAUUGGGACUGAGACACGGCCCAAACUCCUACGGGAGGCAGCAGUGGGGAAUAUUGCACAAUGGGGGAAACCCUGAUGCAGCGACGCCGCGUGAGUGAAGAAGUAUUUCGGUAUGUAAAGCUCUAUCAGCAGGGAAGAAGAAAGACGGUACCUGACUAAGAAGCCCCGGCUAACUACGUGCCAGCAGCCGCGGUAAUACGUAGGGGGCAAGCGUUAUCCGGAUUUACUGGGUGUAAAGGGAGCGUAGACGGCGAUGCAAGUCUGAAGUGAAAGCCCAGGGCUCAACCCUGGGACUGCUUUGGAAACUGUGUUGCUAGAGUGCUGGAGAGGUAAGUGGAAUUCCUAGUGUAGCGGUGAAACGCGUAGAUAUUAGGAGGAACACCAGUGGCGAAGGCGGCUUACUGGACAGUAACUGACGUUGAGGCUCGAAAGCGUGGGGAGCAAACAGGAUUAGAUACCCUGGUAGUCCACGCGGUAAACGAU